Molecule: long non-coding RNA, 335 nt
Filed under: Lathyrus oleraceus (garden pea)
Lineage: Eukaryota; Viridiplantae; Streptophyta; Magnoliopsida; Fabales; Fabaceae
Description: Pisum sativum (pea) long non-coding RNA (PSAT_LNC029286)
Source: RNAcentral
AAUGCGUUAGCGUAGAACUCCCGCACUGUAGCGAUGUCAUAGUGUUCCAAGGGAUUUAUCAACCUAUCCCAUUUCUUUGUAUCAAUCAACCCGGCAAAACUCCGAUACGUGCCCUGUGGGUUGAUCAGAAACCGCUUCUCAGGCAAAAUGUUUCGCUUCUCCAAAGCGAUGUACCGUGCCGCUUGUUUCGGGCCCACAAACUUGUCGUGGUCGAAUUGGAUCGGCACGGUUCGUGAAGUAGUUGCCGCUCCCUUUCUUUUCUUGCCAGCACUAGAUCUUGACUCCAUUCUGCAAAACAAGAGAUAAAGCAACAAACACGAAACAAACAGAUUAGA